This 90-nucleotide transfer RNA is filed under the name Salmonella enterica subsp. enterica. Its description in RNAcentral is "tRNA-Ile". It matches the Rfam family "tRNA". Rfam says of the family: Transfer RNA (tRNA) molecules are approximately 80 nucleotides in length. Their secondary structure includes four short double-helical elements and three loops (D, anti-codon, and T loops). The record is from RNAcentral. Lineage: Bacteria; Pseudomonadati; Pseudomonadota; Gammaproteobacteria; Enterobacterales; Enterobacteriaceae. RNAcentral also lists the same sequence under 2 other names.
GGUAGGUUGGCUGAGUGGUCUAAGGCACCGAUUUGAUAGUUCGGAGGGGAGUCGCUUCCUCCAAGGGUUCGAAUCCCUUACCUACCGCCA